GAAACGACUGCUAAGACUGGAUAGGAAAUUAGAAGGCAUCUUUUAUUUUUAAAAGACCUUUUUCGAAAGGUAUACUUAAAGAGGGGCUUGCGGCACAUUAGUUAGUUGGUAGGGUAAAAGCCUACCAAGACCAUGAUGUGUAGCUGGACUGAGAGGUUGAACAGCCACAUUGGGACUGAGACACGGCCCAAACUCCUACGGGAGGCAGCAGUAGGGAAUUUUCGGCAAUGGAGGAAACUCUGACCGAGCAACGCCGCGUGAACGAUGAAGUAUUUCGGUAUGUAAAGUUCUUUUAUUGGAGAAGAAAAAAUAGUGGAAAAACUAUCUUGACGAUAUUCAAUGAAUAAGCCCCGGCAAACUAUGUGCCAGCAGCCGCGGUAAUACAUAGGGGGCGAGCGUUAUCCGGAAUUAUUGGGCGUAAAGGGUGCGUAGGCGGUUUGGUAAGUCUAUAGUUUAAUUUCAGUGCUUAACACUGUUCUGCUAUAGAAACUAUCAGACUAGAGUAAGAUAGAGGCAAGUGGAAUUCCAUGUGUAGCGGUAAAAUGCGUAAAUAUAUGGAGGAACACCAGAGGCGUAGGCGGCUUGCUGGGUCUUUACUGACGCUGAGGCACGAAAGCGUGGGGAGCAAACAGGAUUAGAUACCCUGGUAGUCCACGCCGUAAACGAUGAGUACUAAGUGUCGGGGAAACUCGGUACUGAAGUUAACACAUUAAGUACUCCGCCUGAGUAGUACGUACGCAAGUAUGAAACUUAAAGGAAUUGACGGGACUCCGCACAAGCGGUGGAUCAUGUUGUUUAAUUCGAAGAUACACGAAAAACCUUACCAGGUCUUGAUAUACUCUGCAAAGCUAUAGCAAUAUAGUGGAGAUUAUCAGGGAUACAGGUGGUGCAUGGUUGUCGUCAGCUCGUGUCGUGAGAUGUUAGGUUAAGUCCUAAAACGAGCGCAACCCUUGUCACUAGUUGCCAGCAUGUUAUGAUGGGCACUUUAGUGAGACUGCCAAUGAAAAAUUGGAGGAAGGCGAGGAUCACGUCAAAUCAUCAUGCCCCUUAUGAUCUGGGCUACAAACGUGAUACAAUGGCUGUUACAAAGAGUAGCUAAAACGCGAGUUUAUAGCCAAUCUCAUAAAAGCAGUCUCAGUUCGGAUUGAAGUCUGCAACUCGACUUCAUGAAGUUGGAAUCGCUAGUAAUCGCGAAUCAGCAUGUCGCGGUGAAUACGUUCGCGGGGUUUGUACACACCGCCCGUCA
RNAcentral lists this ribosomal RNA (1246 nucleotides) under Candidatus Phytoplasma cynodontis. Its description in RNAcentral is "bacterial SSU rRNA". It matches the Rfam family "Bacterial small subunit ribosomal RNA", at positions 153 to 1399 of the family's 1533-position model. The record is from RNAcentral. Lineage: Bacteria; Bacillati; Mycoplasmatota; Mollicutes; Acholeplasmatales; Acholeplasmataceae.